GGACGGGUGGCAGAGUGGUUGAAUGCACCGGUCUUGAAAACCGGCAGGGGUGCAAGCCCCUCGUGGGUUCGAAUCCCACCCCGUCCGCCA
Molecule: transfer RNA, 90 nt
Filed under: Alphaproteobacteria bacterium
Lineage: Bacteria; Pseudomonadati; Pseudomonadota; Alphaproteobacteria
Description: tRNA-Ser
Rfam family: tRNA
About the family: Transfer RNA (tRNA) molecules are approximately 80 nucleotides in length.
Source: RNAcentral